Long non-coding RNA from Aphis gossypii (cotton aphid), 1009 nucleotides. RefSeq lists it as uncharacterized. NCBI's taxonomy places the organism in Eukaryota, Metazoa, Arthropoda, Insecta, Hemiptera, Aphididae. The record is from RefSeq and is a predicted model, not a curated record. The transcript has 3 exons.
GUUUUUUGUUAAACUAUUGUAUUUACGUUUGCGAGAUACGCAGUACGACAAUGUACGAUGAUCAUAUUAUACAUUUAUGCAGAUUGCAGGUACCUACAUGACUACAUAACAAAGUUAUGUACUAACCACAGUUCAUAGUGGAACUAAAAGAAAUCUAAAAUAAUACAUAAGAACAUAUAGACAUUUUAAAUUCAAAUUUGGACAAAAUUACACAUUCUUAUAACGAUUAACGAUGUAACAAAAAACACAUAUAUCACGUUUUUAAUGUUUCUAUAAUGUAGUCUAUACAUAGAUUCGGAUUCGUUUUUCGUACACAACGAUUUACCUAUAUAGGCAUAAAUACCUAAUGGAAUUCAUCAAUUACAGUGACUCACACAGCACCAAAUCUACCGCCAGAGUGGUACUCCAUUUUUUUCUCGUAAAGUCAUGCGGGAAAAAUCCGCCGUCGCCUCACUGCAAUGUAAUACCUUCAGCCGUUUUUGUCGCGAAUCGUCUUGGACAGACAUCACAUGCCUGCUAUGGUAUUAAUCAUUUUAUGACGAGCGUAUCGCUGCUCGACCUUCGAAUUGGCGCAAAUGCUUCGCAGUUCACUGCAGUUUGCUAUAUAGAUUUUUUUAUAAAGGGGAAGAGUUUAAAAGUUUUCAAACAAAUCGGCUGUCGCAUUUUAUUAUUACCCGUAUCAAACAAUAAACAACAAUGUCGUGACGGUAUGUACUUAUAUCAUUAUGAUAUCUGAACUAAAUAUAAUGAAUAAUGAUGAACUUCAUUAUAUCAGAUAGUAAAAUCUCUCACUAUCAUCCUUGGAUAUUUUGCCCGCCCAAUGUUCGGAUUCACCAUGAAGGUUGUUUUAGUAAAUAUACAUUAUAUGCAUAAACAAAAGUUUUAAUUAUAUGUUCUUAUGAAUUUAAUGCAAAAAGUAAUUACUAUGAAAAUAUUUACUAGAAGAUUAGAAAUAAAACAAACUAGUGUGCUUGCUGACUGCUUAAGUAGACAUAAGUAUUUAGGAUAU